GGGUCAGUAGGUUGGUCGUGCCACCGGUACGUACUGGUCUCACUGAUUCCUCCUUCCUGAAGAACCGUAAUGCCAUUAAUUUGGUGUUGCGGGGAAACAGGACUGUUACUUUGAAAAAAUUAGAGUGUUUAAAGCAAGCUAACGCUUGAAUACAUUAGCAUGUAAUAAUGAAUUAGGACGAUCGAUCCUAUUUUGUUGGUUUCCAGGAUUGACGUA
RNAcentral lists this ribosomal RNA (216 nucleotides) under Glomeromycotina sp. RNAcentral describes it as "partial small subunit ribosomal RNA". The stretch from base 40 to 216 matches the Rfam family "Eukaryotic small subunit ribosomal RNA", at positions 686 to 864 of the family's 1831-position model. The record is from RNAcentral. Lineage: Eukaryota; Fungi; Glomeromycota.